GGGGUUGUAGCUCAGUACGGUUAGAGCGCCGGCCUGUCACGCCGGAGGCCGCGGGUUCAAGUCCCGUCAGCCCCG
RNAcentral lists this transfer RNA (75 nucleotides) under Thermanaerovibrio acidaminovorans DSM 6589. It matches the Rfam family "tRNA". From Rfam's summary of the family: Transfer RNA (tRNA) molecules are approximately 80 nucleotides in length. Their secondary structure includes four short double-helical elements and three loops (D, anti-codon, and T loops). Lineage: Bacteria; Thermotogati; Synergistota; Synergistia; Synergistales; Synergistaceae. The record is from Rfam by way of RNAcentral.